This 465-nucleotide ribosomal RNA is filed under the name Vreelandella stevensii. RNAcentral's name for it is "partial 16S ribosomal RNA". It matches the Rfam family "Bacterial small subunit ribosomal RNA", at positions 338 to 795 of the family's 1533-position model. The record is from RNAcentral. Lineage: Bacteria; Pseudomonadati; Pseudomonadota; Gammaproteobacteria; Oceanospirillales; Halomonadaceae.
CCUACGGGAGGCAGCAGUGGGGAAUAUUGGACAAUGGGGGGAACCCUGAUCCAGCCAUGCCGCGUGUGUGAAGAAGGCCCUCGGGUUGUAAAGCACUUUCAGUGAGGAAGAACGCCUGGUGGUGAAUACCCAUCAGGAAAGACAUCACUCACAGAAGAAGCACCGGCUAACUCCGUGCCAGCAGCCGCGGUAAUACGGAGGGUGCGAGCGUUAAUCGGAAUUACUGGGCGUAAAGCGCGCGUAGGUGGCUUGAUAAGCCGGUUGUGAAAGCCCCGGGCUCAACCUGGGAACGGCAUCCGGAACUGUCAAGCUAGAGUGCAGGAGAGGAAGGUGGAAUUCCCGGUGUAGCGGUGAAAUGCGUAGAGAUCGGGAGGAAUACCAGUGGCGAAGGCGGCCUUCUGGACUGACACUGACGCUGAGGUGCGAAAGCGUGGGUAGCAAACAGGAUUAGAUACCCUUGUAGUC